RNAcentral lists this ribosomal RNA (253 nucleotides) under uncultured bacterium. RNAcentral's name for it is "partial 16S ribosomal RNA". It matches the Rfam family "Bacterial small subunit ribosomal RNA", at positions 524 to 776 of the family's 1533-position model. The record is from RNAcentral.
UACGGAGGGUGCGAGCGUUGUCCGGAAUCACUGGGCGUAAAGGGCGCGUAGGUGGCUUCUCAAGCGCGCGGUGAAAGCCCGGGGCUCAACCCCGGGUCGGCCGUGCGGACUGGGAGGCUCGAGCACUGUAGGGGCGGGUGGAAUUCCGGGUGUAGCGGUGGAAUGCGUAGAGAUCGGGAGGAACACCAGUGGCGAAGGCGGCUCACUGGGCCGGACCUGACGCUGAGGCGCGAAAGCGUGGGGAGCGAUCCGG